GAUGAACGCUGGCGGCGUGCUUAACACAUGCAAGUCGAACGAUGAAGCCCAGCCUGCUGGGCGGAUUAGUGGCGAACGGGUGAGUAACACGUGAGUAACCUGCCCUUGACUCUGGGAUAAGCCCGGGAAACUGGGUCUAAUGCCGGAUAGGAGCGCCUGUCGCAUGACGGGUGCUGGAAAGAUUUUUCGGUCAUGGAUGGACUCGCGGCCUAUCAGCUUGUUGGUGAGGUAACGGCUCACCAAGGCGACGACGGGUAGCCGGCCUGAGAGGGUGACCGGCCACACUGGGACUGAGACACGGCCCAGACUCCUACGGGAGGCAGCAGUGGGGAAUAUUGCACAAUGGGCGGAAGCCUGAUGCAGCGACGCCGCGUGAGGGAUGACGGCCUUCGGGUUGUAAACCUCUUUCAGUAGGGAAGAAGCGAAAGUGACG
This 433-nucleotide ribosomal RNA is filed under the name Micrococcus luteus. RNAcentral describes it as "bacterial SSU rRNA". It matches the Rfam family "Bacterial small subunit ribosomal RNA", at positions 28 to 474 of the family's 1533-position model. Lineage: Bacteria; Bacillati; Actinomycetota; Actinomycetes; Micrococcales; Micrococcaceae. The record is from RNAcentral.